GAUCAUGGCUCAGGACGAACGCUGGCGGCGUGCUUAACACAUGCAAGUCGAACGAGAAUCUACUGAAAGAGUUUUCGGACAAUGGAAGUAGAGGAAAGUGGCGGACGGGUGAGUAACGCGUGAGGAACCUGCCUUGAAGAGGGGGACAACAGUUGGAAACGACUGCUAAUACCGCAUGAAGCAUAGGGGUCGCAUGAUUCUUAUGCCAAAAGAUUUAUCGCUUCAAGAUGGCCUCGCG
This 238-nucleotide ribosomal RNA is filed under the name uncultured bacterium. Its description in RNAcentral is "partial 16S ribosomal RNA". It matches the Rfam family "Bacterial small subunit ribosomal RNA", at positions 15 to 235 of the family's 1533-position model. The record is from RNAcentral.